ACUACGGGAGGCAGCAGUGGGGAAUAUUGCACAAUGGGGGGAACCCUGAUGCAGCGAUGCCGCGUGGAGGAAGAAGGUUUUCGGAUUGUAAACUCCUUUUAUCAGGGACGAUAAUGACGGUACCUGAAGAAAAAGCUCCCGCUAACUACGGGCCAGGCGCCGCGGUAAGACGUAGGGAGCGAGCGUGGUCCGGAUUUACUGGGUGUAAAGGGGUCGUUGGCGGGACGGCAAGUCAGAUGUGAAAACUAAGGGCUGAACCUUGAGACUGCCUUUGAAACUGCUGAUCUUGAGUGAAGUAGAGGUAAGUGGAAGUCCUAGUGUAGCGGUGAAAUGAGUAGAUAUUAGGAGGAACAUCGGUGGCGAAGGCGGCUUACUGGGCUUUUAAUGACGCUGAGGCUCGAAAGCGUGGGGAGCAAACAGGAUUAGAUACCCCAGUAGUC
This 440-nucleotide ribosomal RNA is filed under the name uncultured bacterium. RNAcentral describes it as "partial 16S ribosomal RNA". It matches the Rfam family "Bacterial small subunit ribosomal RNA", at positions 338 to 795 of the family's 1533-position model. The record is from RNAcentral.